This 406-nucleotide ribosomal RNA is filed under the name uncultured bacterium. RNAcentral describes it as "partial 16S ribosomal RNA". It matches the Rfam family "Bacterial small subunit ribosomal RNA", at positions 30 to 526 of the family's 1533-position model. The record is from RNAcentral.
AUUGAACGCUGGCGGCAGGCCUAACACAUGCAAGUCGAACGAGUGGCGGACGGGUGAGUAAUGUCUGGGAAACUGCCUGAUGGAGGGGGAUAACUACUGGAAACGGUAGCUAAUACCGCAUACCAUCAGAUGUGCCCAGAGGGGAUUCGCUUGUUGGUGGGGUAACGGCUCACAAAGGCGACGAUCCCUAGCUGGUCUGCGAGGAUGAGCAGCAACACUGGAACUGAGACACGGUCCAGACUCCUACGGGAGGGAGCAGUGGGGAAGAUUGCAAAAUGGGCGCAAGCCUGAUGCAGCCAUGCCGCGUGUAUGAAGAAGGCCUUAGGGUUGUAAAGUACUUUCAGCGGGGAGGCGUGACCCGCAGAAGAAGCACCGGCUAACUCCGUGCCAGCAGCCGCGGUAAUUC